UGGGGAAUAUUGGACAAUGGGGGCAACCCUGAUCCAGCGAUGCCGCGUGUGUGAAGAAGGCCUGCGGGUUGUAAAGCACUUUAGUUGGGGAGGAAAGGUAUGUACUGCAUAAGUGCAUGCUGUGACGUUACCCAAAGAAUAAGCACCGGCAAACUCUGUGCCAGCAGCCGCGGUAAUACAGAGGGUGCAAGCGUUAAUCGGACUUACUGGGCGUAAAGCGUGCGCAGGCGGCUUUGCAAGACAGAUGUGAAAUCCCCGGGCUCAACCUGGGAACUGCAUUUGUGACUGCAAGGCUAGAGUGCAGAAGGGGCAAUCGGAAUUCUUGGUGUAGCGGUGAAAUGCGUAGAUAUCAAGAGGAACACCUGAGGUGAAGACGGGUUGCUGGGCUGACACUGACGCUGAGGCGCGAAAGCCAGGGGAGCAAACGGGAUUAGAUACCCUAGUAGUCCCUGAGCGGGCUGGCAAGGCGCAU
This 472-nucleotide ribosomal RNA is filed under the name uncultured bacterium. Its description in RNAcentral is "bacterial SSU rRNA". It matches the Rfam family "Bacterial small subunit ribosomal RNA", at positions 355 to 825 of the family's 1533-position model. The record is from RNAcentral.